RNAcentral lists this ribosomal RNA (373 nucleotides) under uncultured organism. RNAcentral's name for it is "bacterial SSU rRNA". It matches the Rfam family "Bacterial small subunit ribosomal RNA", at positions 526 to 896 of the family's 1533-position model. The record is from RNAcentral.
CGUAGGGUCCGAGCGUUGUCCGGAAUUAUUGGGCGUAAAGAGCUCGUAGGCGGUCUGUCGCGUCUGCUGUGAAAUCCCGAGGCUCAACCUCGGGCCUGCAGUGGGUACGGGCAGACUGGAGUGCGGUAGGGGAGAAUGGAAUUCCUGGUGUAGCGGUGGAAUGCGCAGAUAUCAGGAGGAACACCGAUGGCGAAGGCAGUUCUCUGGGCCGUAACUGACGCUGAGGAGCGAAAGCGUGGGGAGCGAACAGGAUUAGAUACCCUGGUAGUCCACGCCGUAAACGUUGGGCGCUAGAUGUGGGGACCUUUCCACGGUUUCCGUGUCGUAGCCAACGCAUUAAGCGCCCCGCCUGGGGAGUACGGCCGCAAGGCUA